GUGAGGAAUAUUGGUCAAUGGGCGAGAGCCUGAACCAGCCAAGUCGCGUGAAGGAAGAAGGAUCUAUGGUUCGUAAACUUCUUUUGCAGGGGAAUAAAGUGCGGGACGUGUCCUGUUUUGUAUGUACCCUGAGAAUAAGGAUCGGCUAACUCCGUGCCAGCAGCCGCGGUAAUACGGAGGCUCCGAGCGUUAUCCGGAUUUAUUGGGUUUAAAGGGUGCGUAGGUGGUUUGAUAAGUCAGCGGUGAAAGUUUGCAGCUUAACUGUAAAAAUGCCGUUGAAACUGUCGGACUUGAGUGUAAAUGAGGUAGGCGGAAUGCGUGGUGUAGCGGUGAAAUGCAUAGAUAUCACGCAGAACUCCGAUUGCGAAGGCAGCUUACUAAGCUACAACUGACACUGAAGCACGAAAGCGUGGGGAUCAAACAGGAUUAGAAACCCCUGUAGUCC
Molecule: ribosomal RNA, 445 nt
Filed under: uncultured bacterium
Lineage: Bacteria
Description: partial 16S ribosomal RNA
Rfam family: Bacterial small subunit ribosomal RNA
Source: RNAcentral